AACGAACGCUGGCGGCAUGCCUAACACAUGCAAGUCGAACGAGACCUUCGGGUCUAGUGGCGCACGGGUGCGUAACGCGUGGGAACCUGCCCUUAGGUUCGGAAUAGCUCCCCGAAAGGGGUGCUAAUACCGGAUAAUGUCUUCGGACCAAAGAUUUAUCGCCUUUGGAUGGGCCCGCGUUGGAUUAGCUAGUUGGUAGGGUAAAAGCCUACCAAGGCGACGAUCCAUAGCUGGUCUGAGAGGAUGAUCAGCCACACUGGGACUGAGACACGGCCCAGACUCCUACGGGAGGCAGCAGUGGGGAAUAUUGGACAAUGGGCGAAAGCCUGAUCCAGCAAGGCCGCGUGAGUGAUGAAGGCCUUAGGGUUGUAAAGCUCUUUUACCCGGGAUGAUAAUGACAGUACCGGGAGAAUAAGCUCCGGCUAACUCCGUG
Molecule: ribosomal RNA, 433 nt
Filed under: uncultured bacterium
Lineage: Bacteria
Description: partial 16S ribosomal RNA
Rfam family: Bacterial small subunit ribosomal RNA
Source: RNAcentral